Molecule: long non-coding RNA, 218 nt
Filed under: Mytilus galloprovincialis (Mediterranean mussel)
Lineage: Eukaryota; Metazoa; Mollusca; Bivalvia; Mytilida; Mytilidae
Source: RNAcentral
UUUUUUUAGUUUAAAACGAAGAUAAGUAUCCAGACAAGAUAAGCAGACGAAAAGCAAAAGGACAAAGGACUAGUUGGGUGUCGGGUACCUAUUCUUUUUACAUUUGGCAUUUUAACUAUAUGAGGCAGGUGUUACUUGUGAAAAAGAAAGAAUGAUUUAUAUUUGAAAUAGCAUAGUUUAUGCAUAUUUAUGUUUGUAACAACCCACAGCCACAGGCC